AGUGAACGCUGGCGGUAGGCCUAACACAUGCAAGUCGAACGGCAGCACAGUAAGAGCUUGCUCUUACGGGUGGCGAGUGGCGGACAGGUGAGGAAUACAUCGGAAUCUACUUUUUCGUGGGGGAUAACGUAGGGAAACUUACGCUAAUACCGCAUACGACCUACGGGUGAAAGCAGGGGAUCUUCGGACCUUGCGCGAUUGAAUGAGCCGAUGUCGGAUUAGCUAGUUGGCGGGGUAAAGGCCCACCAAGGCGACGAUCCGUAGCUGGUCUGAGAGGAUGAUCAGCCACACUGGAACUGAGACACGGUCCAGACUCCUACGGGUGGCAGCAGUGGGGAAUAUUGGACAAUGGGCGCAAGCCUGAUCCAGCCAUACCGCGUGGGUGAAGAAGGCCUUCGGGUUGUAAAGCCCUUUUGUUGGGAAAGAAAAGCAGCAGGUUAAUACCCCGCUGUUCUGACGGUACCCAAAGAAUAAGCACCGGCUAACUUCGUG
This 492-nucleotide ribosomal RNA is filed under the name uncultured bacterium. Its description in RNAcentral is "partial 16S ribosomal RNA". It matches the Rfam family "Bacterial small subunit ribosomal RNA", at positions 29 to 507 of the family's 1533-position model. The record is from RNAcentral.